Molecule: unclassified non-coding RNA, 240 nt
Filed under: soil metagenome
Description: partial contains 5.8S ribosomal RNA, internal transcribed spacer 2, and large subunit ribosomal RNA
Source: RNAcentral
AAGACUAUAGACCUGCGGAGUACCUGCGGAGGGAUCAUUACCGAGUACCGGGGCCUUCGGGUUCCUACUCCCACCCUAUGUUGACUUUAAAUGUUGCUUUGGCGGACCGGUGGUCUCACCGCUGGCCUAGGCUGGAGAGCGUCCGCCAGAGGAUUUUAAACUCUGUUUAACGGUGAAUUCUGAGUCUUGAUAAAUUGAAUCAAAACUUUCAACAAUGGAUCUCUAGAUCGGAAGAGCACA